This 38-nucleotide ribosomal RNA is filed under the name uncultured Thelephoraceae. RNAcentral describes it as "partial 28S ribosomal RNA". The record is from RNAcentral. Lineage: Eukaryota; Fungi; Basidiomycota; Agaricomycetes; Thelephorales; Thelephoraceae.
UUGAUCUCAAAACAGGUAGGACUACCCGCUGAACUUAA